AUGAGUUGUUAAAACCUGCGUCUUGCAGCUCUUCUGCAAGAUUCUUAGACGCAGAGAGAUCCAAGGAGAAGUUGGUAAAGAGUUGACGGUCGAGAGACCACUCAUGUAGCACAGCUCUCGGAGUGGGCAUCCAUUUAAUCUAGUCAUUAUACCUGGUGGAACGCCUCUCCCAAUAUGAACCUACCCGUACACUGCGCUCAACAUCUAAGGCCCUCCUCCGAGUGCCAUCCCAUCGAGAAGCUCAGAGGGUGGUGACUAGAACUAGGGCCUUUUCAGUGGUGGCCCCUGAACUGUGGAACAGUCUUGCUGAUGAGGUGCGCCUGGCGCCGACGCUACUAUCUUUUCCAGGUGCUGCUUUACCACCAUUAUUUCUGUCUGGGUGCUGCUUCAUUCUCCAUCCAGGAUCACACACCAUCGAUGAACCUAUCAGAGAACACAGCAUGAAUGGGAUGAGAUCACAAUACUAGGAACACAAUACAAAAGGAGAAACCAGAGAUCCCAAAGCCCUCUCUGUUGUGUAGUCCAGGGACUGUUUGCUAAUGCAGAAAGAAAAGUUAUCGCUUCAGGCAAGCAAUGACUUGCUGGAAAUUUUGCUGCUGAAAAGG
This is a long non-coding RNA of Rhineura floridana, 605 nucleotides long. RefSeq lists it as uncharacterized. The record is from RefSeq and is a predicted model, not a curated record. The transcript has 5 exons. Lineage: Eukaryota; Metazoa; Chordata; Lepidosauria; Squamata; Rhineuridae.